CACUUUCCUAGUUUAUAUUUUCAGUUCUCACUUCUCUCUCUCGGUUCUCUUCUUCACUCUUCAACUUAGAGUUCAGAGUCACUCUUCAAAGAUCAAAUCACCACCAGUAACACCAACAAGGCAACAACUUGAGGAAAACUGUCUUAGACUUGAAGCUCGCCUAAGAGGAAAUCAAUUGAAAUAUUGAUUAAAGGAGAAACUAUCUUGUUAGAUAGUCAUACAUGGAGUCACAUCGCAAAUGGGAGCAUAUUCUCAACCUUCAUCAUCUUGUGGAGCAAGUGACAGUGCAACUAAGAAGGUUAAAGUUGGUGUAAGGAAAUCAUGGGUGCGCGAGCACUUUGAUAUUUUAGAGUCUGGUGCUAGAGCAAAAUGUAAGCAUUGUCCAAAGGGUUUAGGUAUAUACAAGAUUGGUGAUAAAUCAUAUGGGAGUGCCAAUCUUAGUCGUCAUUUGGAGAAGUGCAAUGAAUAUAAGAAAACAAUAAAUAAGGAACCGAGACUACGAACACUAGAUUUUCAACCUUGCAACCUGAAAGAGCACUUUGCUGCUUGGUGAGCUUGUUGCAGUAUUAGAGCUUACAUGGUUUUAGUUAUAGUUGCAGACUUGCAGUAUUAGUCUGCAGUAUUAAAUUUUGAAUAUAUUGUAAAAUUUUGAAUGUUGGAACUUAAAUUUUAAGAUAACUGAAUGGUGGUUAAAAAUUA
This is a long non-coding RNA of Papaver somniferum (opium poppy), 699 nucleotides long. RefSeq lists it as uncharacterized. NCBI's taxonomy places the organism in Eukaryota, Viridiplantae, Streptophyta, Magnoliopsida, Ranunculales, Papaveraceae. The transcript has 3 exons. The record is from RefSeq and is a predicted model, not a curated record.